UACGGAGGAUCCAAGCGUUAUCCGGAAUCAUUGGGUUUAAAGGGUGCGUAGGCGGAUUAAUAAGUCAGAGGUGAAAUCCUGCAGCUCAACUGUAGAACUGCCUUUGAUACUGUUAGUCUUGAAUCUAGUUGAAGUAGGCGGAAUGUAACAUGUAGCGGUGAAAUGCAUAGAGAUGUUACAGAACACCGAUUGCGAAGGCAGCUUACUAAGCUAGUAUUGACGCUGAUGCACGAAAGCGUGGGGAGCGAACAGG
RNAcentral lists this ribosomal RNA (253 nucleotides) under uncultured bacterium. RNAcentral describes it as "partial 16S ribosomal RNA". It matches the Rfam family "Bacterial small subunit ribosomal RNA", at positions 524 to 776 of the family's 1533-position model. The record is from RNAcentral.